UACGUAGGGGGCAAGCGUUGUCCGGAAUCAUUGGGCGUAAAGAGCGUGUAGGCGGCCAGAUAAGUCCGCUGUGAAAACUCGAGGCUCAACUUCGAGCUGUCGGUGGAAACUAUUUGGCUAGAGUCCGGAAGAGGAGAGUGGAAUUCCUGGUGUAGCGGUGAAAUGCGCAGAUAUCAGGAAGAACACCAAUGGCGAAGGCAGCUCUCUGGGACGGUACUGACGCUGAGAAGCGAAAGCAUGGGGAGCGAACAGG
Molecule: ribosomal RNA, 253 nt
Filed under: uncultured bacterium
Lineage: Bacteria
Description: partial 16S ribosomal RNA
Rfam family: Bacterial small subunit ribosomal RNA
Source: RNAcentral